GAGCUGAUCCAUGUUCCUUUGAUGGAACUCUGCAUGAAUCGUGGGAUUUUGCACAGACUGUGCAUUAUCCACACCAUGCAAGACAGGCUGGCCCUAUCUACUUUGCGUUGCCAAGGGAACAGGAAAUCAUACGUUCUACAUGAUUGAUGAGGCAGAGCUGCCUGGAAAGGGUGCGGGCUGUGUCGUAAGCGUAGUGCACUAUUAUUUCAAGCACUAUGGUUAUGGAGAAGAAGAACGCACAGGCCUUCAUGAAUCCACCAGCAUCAGCAUCAACACCAUGCUAGCAGGCCACACAAAGUUUGCUCCUGACUGGCAUUUUGGUGUUUGGUUUGUCAAGUGAAGUGGAGGGCGAGUGAUGCAGAGAAAAUGCAAGACAUUGCUACAACCGUACGAUCAUCAUAACGGUCGGGUCACAACAUUCCCCAUCGCGUGUGUGACAUGGAGAGUCCGGUCAAAUUCUUUGAGUGGCGGUCACACCAUGAAGCCGAGUUCAGGAACAUAAAAAUCAUAACUUAAUACCACCAUUUCUUUGUUUCCAAAUAUGAUCCCGGUAUUUUGCAUUGUAAGGAGUAAGCUGACUCUACCAAGGAGUGUUUUGAUCUUUUGAAGUGUGCAAUAAAUAAGAAUGCCAUGCCUCCAAUUAAGACCAUUCCAGUGCUCCCGUCAGCAAGACAGUGGUACUUGUAUGAUCACAUAUCGAAAAUUUUCAGGUCUGAGUCAGCAAAAGAGAAAACAUGUCCCAAUCCUCUUAUUCCAAAGUA
This is a long non-coding RNA of Dreissena polymorpha, 761 nucleotides long. RefSeq lists it as uncharacterized. The record is from RefSeq and is a predicted model, not a curated record. NCBI's taxonomy places the organism in Eukaryota, Metazoa, Mollusca, Bivalvia, Myida, Dreissenidae. The transcript is spliced from 3 exons.